Molecule: long non-coding RNA, 1450 nt
Organism: Canis lupus familiaris (dog)
Lineage: Eukaryota; Metazoa; Chordata; Mammalia; Carnivora; Canidae
Exons: 3
Source: RefSeq, a predicted model, not a curated record
CAAAGAGGGUAACUGUGAAGAGUUUAAUGCAGGGGCUAACCAUAGAGGGCCAGGCAGGGUUGAAGGAAACCAUUGAGGGAUGGUAAAGCACUCUGGGGCUGGCAAGAGCUGGAAGCCACUGCCCCUCCGAGGUCCUGAGGCGCCUCCCAUGGGCUGACGAGAAGCCAGAGGGCAGAGGAACCCACUAGAGGAGAUCCACAGUGGCAGAGAUGGACAAUAUUACACCCAGUAUCCAAAGACAAGCAAAAAAAGGCUAUCAAGCUGGGAGCUGACAGAUACAACUCUACUCCAGAUUGGAAUACAACACUGAAAGAGAGAGAUAAACAAUGUGACCCAGGAGGAGGGAAAGUCAUCACUCUGCCCAACUCACAUGUCUUGAUAACACAAUCUACUGGAAAUUGGGGGAAAGAAGACAAAUAUGAAGAUUCACUAAGGUCUUUGGGCUGCCAGCAUGUUGGUCUGAGCUCUCAGAGCCCAAGGGUCCCAACCCCAGCUGAGAAGCUCAGAGGCAUGACCGCCCUGCCCAGGACCUGCAAGAAGUGAACCCCACUAUGUGGGUGAAAAGGCUGGUGCCUGGUAAAGAAACAAAUCCUAUAAACCGAAGCAGAGGCCCAGAGAGGUUGAGAAGGGACAGGACUCCAAAGGAGUGAUACAGAUGCUUCCAUUGAAAGAAUCUGGGACACUGCUCAAAGUCAGUUGCAAAAAAAAUGGGUUUGGAAGAUGAGGGAAUGGGGUCACUGGGCAUUAAGGAGGGCACGUGAUGUGAUGGGCACUGGGUAUGAUAUGCAACUGAUGAACUGCUGAGCUCUACAUGGGAAACUAAUGAUAUAUUGGCUAAUUGAGUUUAAAUUUUAAAUUUUUCUUAAAGAAAAAUGAAAAUAAAAAAGAAGAAAUUGGGCAAACAGGGCUACACAAGAAAAUUGUAGGAGCCGUCUCGUAAAAUUACAGGUUCCUAGCGCCACCUUGACACUACUCACUCGGUCCUUGGAGCCGUGGUUUUCGAUCUCAGCUGCACACCAGAAUCGUCCCUAUUGCCCAGGCUGACUCCUGGGUGUAUCCAGUGGGAGUCCCUAGAGGGAAGAACCCAGGCUUUCUUCAAGUCCUGAAGGAUACUCAUCGAGCAGCAGCGUACGACCAAGUUUGAGAAUCUCUGCUCUCCCAUGGGUGAGGGGUCUGUGUGCUUAUCAUGCUCCCUAACUGAUUCUAAUGGGCCUUGAGUCCACCUCACUCUGCUGGCAAGUAUUUGGGAAACUCUGCUAAAGGUAACUUCGCUUAAAGCCACAGCGUGGCCUACGAAACCAGCAGGGCUAAUGGUGGCGGCCAGAGGCCAGGUCCUGGGACAACACGGAUGAUCAGCAGUGGGACAGGAGAGCCCCGCGCCCCGCCCCGCCUCCUGCGCUCGCUCUCCCGGCGCCGUCCUCCACCUGCAGCCGGGACCCAGGGGCGCCUA